CUACUACCCCCUCAGUCCGGAAAUACUUAUCCUAGAAAUGAAUAAAAUGGAUGUAUCUAUAACUAAAAUAAGUCUAGAUACAUCCAUUUCUAGGACAAGUAUUUCUGGACGGAGGGAGUAGUAU
Hordeum vulgare subsp. vulgare (domesticated barley) is the source of this 124-nucleotide non-coding RNA. The record is from Rfam. Lineage: Eukaryota; Viridiplantae; Streptophyta; Magnoliopsida; Poales; Poaceae.